CCUACGGGUGGCAGCAGUGAGGAAUAUUGGUCAAUGGACGAGAGUCUGAACCAGCCAAGUAGCGUGAAGGAUGACUGCCCUAUGGGUUGUAAACUUCUUUUAUAUGGGAAUAAAACGUUCCACGUGUGGGAUUUUGCAUGUACUUUAUGAAUAAGGAUCGGCUAACUCCGUGCCAGCAGCCGCGGUAAUACGGAGGAUCCGAGCGUUAUCCGGAUUUAUUGGGUUUAAAGGGAGCGUAGAUGGGUUGUUAAGUCAGUUGUGAAAGUUUGCGGCUCAACCGUAAAAUUGCAGUUGAUACUGGCAGUCUUGAGUACAGUAGAGGUAGGCGGAAUUCGUGGUGUAGCGGUGAAAUGCUUAGAUAUCACGAAGAACUCCGAUUGCGAAGGCAGUUUACUAAACUGCGACUGACAUUGAUGCUCGAAAGUGUGGGUAUCAAACAGGAUUAGAUACCCUGGUAGUC
RNAcentral lists this ribosomal RNA (460 nucleotides) under uncultured bacterium. RNAcentral's name for it is "partial 16S ribosomal RNA". It matches the Rfam family "Bacterial small subunit ribosomal RNA", at positions 338 to 795 of the family's 1533-position model. The record is from RNAcentral.